GAUGAAGAACGCAGCGAAAUGCGAUACUUGGUGUGAAUUGCAGAAUCCCGUGAACCAUCGAGUCUUUGAACGCAAGUUGCGCCCGAAGCCAUCAGGUUGAGGGCACGUCUGCCUGGGCGUCACAUAUCGUUGCCCAAUGCCUAUUGCAGUGCAAUAGGAAUUUCUAGGGCGAAUGAUGGCUUCCCGUGAGCGUUGUUGCCUCGCGGUUGGUUGAAAAUCGAGUCCUUGAUAGGGUGUGCCAUGGUAGAUGGUGGUCGAGUUAGAACGAUACCGAUCAUGUGCAUGCUCCCCAAAAUAUGGCCUCUAUGACCCACACGCGUCUUUUGACGCUCAUGACGAGACCUCAGGUCAGGCGGGGCUACCCGCUGAAUUUAAGCAUAUCAAUAAGCGGAGGA
RNAcentral lists this unclassified non-coding RNA (395 nucleotides) under soil metagenome. RNAcentral describes it as "partial contains 5.8S ribosomal RNA, internal transcribed spacer 2, and large subunit ribosomal RNA". The stretch from base 1 to 122 matches the Rfam family "5.8S ribosomal RNA", at positions 35 to 154 of the family's 154-position model. The record is from RNAcentral.